This 301-nucleotide ribosomal RNA is filed under the name uncultured bacterium. Its description in RNAcentral is "partial 16S ribosomal RNA". It matches the Rfam family "Bacterial small subunit ribosomal RNA", at positions 509 to 807 of the family's 1533-position model. The record is from RNAcentral.
CAGCAGCCGCGGUAAUACAGAGGGUGCGAGCGUUAAUCGGAUUUACUGGGCGUAAAGCGUGCGUAGGCGGCUUUUUAAGUCGGAUGUGAAAUCCCUGAGCUUAACUUAGGAAUUGCAUUCGAUACUGGGAAGCUAGAGUAUGGGAGAGGAUGGUAGAAUUCCAGGUGUAGCGGUGAAAUGCGUAGAGAUCUGGAGGAAUACCGAUGGCGUAGGCAGCCAUCUGGCCUAAUACUGACGCUGAGGUACGAAAGCAUGGGGAGCAAACAGGAUUAGAUACCCCCGUAGUCCCUGUCUCUUAUAC